This 289-nucleotide ribosomal RNA is filed under the name uncultured eukaryote. Its description in RNAcentral is "partial 18S ribosomal RNA". It matches the Rfam family "Eukaryotic small subunit ribosomal RNA", at positions 6 to 259 of the family's 1831-position model. The record is from RNAcentral.
GGUUGAUCCUGCCAGUAGCAUAUGCUUGUCUCAAAGAUUAAGCCAUGCAUGUCUAAGUAUAAACACCUUUUAUACCGCGAAACUGCGUACAGCUCAUUACAUCAGUUAUGAUUUCUUUGAAGAUUGGAUUUUUUUUAAUACUACAUGGAUACCCGUAGUAAUUCUAGAGCUAAUACAUGCGUAGAGGAUAAGGGUAAAACCUUAUCUGUAUUGAUUAGAUUUCUUAUUUGGAGGGCUUGCUCGAUUGUAUUGGUAAUACAGUACAGUUGUAUCAGGUGACUCAUAAUCA